Molecule: ribosomal RNA, 270 nt
Filed under: uncultured archaeon
Lineage: Archaea
Description: partial 16S ribosomal RNA
Rfam family: Archaeal small subunit ribosomal RNA
Source: RNAcentral
CAGCACCUCAAGUGGUCAGGAUGAUUAUUGGGCCUAAAGCAUCCGUAGCCGGCGCUGUAAGUUUUCGGUUAAAUCUGAACGCUCAACGUACAGGCUGCCGGGAAUACUGCAGCGCUAGGGAGUGGGAGAGGUAGACGGUACUCGGUAGGAAGGGGUAAAAUCCUUUGAUCUAUUGAUGACCACCUGUGGCGAAGGCGGUCUACCAGAACACGUCCGACGGUGAGGGAUGAAAGCUGGGGGAGCAAACCGGAUUAGAUACCCGAGUAGUCC